Molecule: ribosomal RNA, 765 nt
Filed under: uncultured bacterium
Lineage: Bacteria
Description: bacterial SSU rRNA
Rfam family: Bacterial small subunit ribosomal RNA
Source: RNAcentral
GAGUGGCGAACGGGUGAGUAACACGCGGGUAACCUGCCCAUCAGAAGGGGAUAACACUUGGAAACAGGUGCUAAUACCGUAUAACACUAUUUUCCGCAUGGAAGAAAGUUGAAAGGCGCUUUUGCGUCACUGAUGGAUGGACCCGCGGUGCAUUAGCUAGUUGGUGAGGUAACGGCUCACCAAGGCCACGAUGCAUAGCCGACCUGAGAGGGUGAUCGGCCACACUGGGACUGAGACACGGCCCAGACUCCUACGGGAGGCAGCAGUAGGGAAUCUUCGGCAAUGGACGAAAGUCUGACCGAGCAACGCCGCGUGAGUGAAGAAGGUUUUCGGAUCGUAAAACUCUGUUGUUAGAGAAGAACAAGGAUGAGAGUAAAAUGUUCAUCCCUUGACGGUAUCUAACCAGAAAGCCACGGCUAACUACGUGCCAGCAGCCGCGGUAAUACGUAGGUGGCAAGCGUUGUCCGGAUUUAUUGGGCGUAAAGCGAGCGCAGGCGGUUUCUUAAGUCUGAUGUGAAAGCCCCCGGCUCAACCGGGGAGGGUCAUUGGAAACUGGGAGACUUGAGUGCAGAAGAGGAGAGUGGAAUUCCAUGUGUAGCGGUGAAAUGCGUAGAUAUAUGGAGGAACACCAGUGGCGAAGGCGGCUCUCUGGUCUGUAACUGACGCUGAGGCUCGAAAGCGUGGGGAGCGAACAGGAUUAGAUACCCUGGUAGUCCACGCCGUAAACGAUGAGUGCUAAGUGUUGGAGGGUUUCCGCCCUUCAGU